GAAACCAGCAAAUAAAUGUACAUUUUACGGCUGUCGGGACCUAGAUUAUGUUUGUGGAACUGAUGGAAAUAGCUAUAUCUGUGCUAACUACCUGGUUUAUGUGAGUUGUUUAGAAGGCAGUGCUGUGACUGUUGCUCACGAUGGUCGCUGUGCAAGAAGGACAACGACCGCACCAACUACUACAGCCAAACUCUGUCCCAGGGCUCGUUGUCCAGAUGGCUCUACUAAAGUGUGUGGUACUGAUGGAAAAACUUACAAGUGUAAAGAAAAGAUAGAAUACACAAACUGUGUAAAUUAUACUG
This is a long non-coding RNA of Lingula anatina, 302 nucleotides long. The record is from RefSeq and is a predicted model, not a curated record. NCBI's taxonomy places the organism in Eukaryota, Metazoa, Brachiopoda, Lingulata, Lingulida, Lingulidae.